RNAcentral lists this long non-coding RNA (4677 nucleotides) under Nicotiana benthamiana. Its description in RNAcentral is "long non-coding RNA (NBEN_LNC040158)". The record is from RNAcentral. Lineage: Eukaryota; Viridiplantae; Streptophyta; Magnoliopsida; Solanales; Solanaceae.
UCCAAUUUCUCUUAUUAUUUCUUCAUUUUUCUUCUUCUUCCCUCUUUUCUUUCUCCUCCCAGCAGCUCCGCCCGUCGCCGCCCGCCAAAAUUCACCACCGGCACGGCCAACGUCCAAAGCCCAUAAAACCUACACCAAUAUCUUCCUCUCUUUACCCCCUCUUCUAAUCUGAGCCCAAAACCCCCUCUAAAUUCCGUGAAAUCGAAACCCUAGAUAGAAGACUCUUACUUCCCUCUUCGAUUUCACGGCAAAUCCGACCAUCCAACCACACAAACUUCGCGUAAACAUGUAGAUUUCCGCGACAUCUACACUUUCCCUCUAGUUUACCUCCGAAACACGACCAUCACCGUCCGAACACCACCGCUGCCGUUGUCCACUCUACUUCCACCCCUCAACCACUCAAGAUCUCCGAACUUUUUGCAUUCAACCGUCCUCAAACGAGUUUUUAUGGUCGAUAGUAGUUCAUCAAGUCUUUAGUUUUGACGAAGAUCGAUAAUAGAAUCCUGCUCGAACUGAACUACUUUCGGACCUUCACACUUGCGGCACCGCUGCCUCCACACCACCACCACCCCAAUGGUCAAAUUAGGUAAAAUCAAUUCCCUUUCUCCAUGUCCCUGAUUUUUUUUUUGUUUGCCUUUAUUGCUAGUGUUUUUGUUUUAUUAAUUAUUCUAGUUUCAGUUUAGUUUAAUGAUUAAUCUAAUUUUUGAUGUUGUCAUUGUUUAAUUUAAUCGAUUCUAUUUAGUUUGUCUCACUCUGAACAAGUUUUAGUUUUAUUUUGUGUAGUUAAGUUUGAAUUAUGUUUUUAAAAUUUCACUUUAGUUUAACUAUUAAGGUCUUCAUUAGUCAAUAGAUGUCUUUGCUUAAUCUUUAAGUUCUGUUUCUCUUUGUUGGUUAAUGGUUCGAUUAGAUAGUAGUUUCUUGUUACUCAGUUUUUAUUUGGUUUGAGCAAGUUAGUUUGGUAUUGUUGUUGAUAAAAUCUGAAGGUUAGGCAAGUUGAUCAUGUUUUAAGGUACAAAGUUGUUCACUUUAACACCUAAGAUGGCUGAGAGUAUUAUUGUCCUCCAUGCUUCUGCCACGUUACGUUGUAGGACUGUCCUUUGCCCCUUUGGACAGUCCUAGAGCAAUGUUUGGUGAACAAAAGUCUGUCCUUUUAGACCGACUUUUGGUAAAUCAAAAACUGUCCAAAAGUGACAUUCUUUGCUCACUUAAGGGCUGCUCCUUUCAUAUUUUAGGGGGACAGAAUCUAUCACACUGGGAUACAUUUUUAUAAUUGCUUGAACACACAAAAAUAUAAAAAUAAAUUCAGCAGUUGAACGCAUAAAAAGUAAACUGAAAAUCAUGAGUUCUUGGUUGAAUCUUAGAGUGCAAAAUCUUUCAAAAACAUAUAAGAGUCUUAGAGUUUGAUUAUUGAGUUCUUUCUUCUAAAGAAUCACUAUUUUUAGUGAGAUUUUUGGGCUGUUUUAACACGAAUUCACUGUUGUUUCGUUGCUGUUUUUGCUAUCUUUGUUGCUGAUUUUCUGCCCUUUCACCACUAAAUUUCAUCUUGUGACAAAUCAGGUAACCGUUGAAACUUUGCAUUGAAGAUUCUUGAUGACGAUAAAAAUAUUUGAACCCAUUUGUUUAGUGGAACAUGUAAUAUCUGAUUUUGUCCCAAGAUAAUUGUUGCAUCAAUAUCAUAGCACGUAAAUAUGUUGUAUUUAGCCAUAAUAUUUAUUUUUGUUCACAAAACAAUACUCUAUUAGUGUGUUAUUUAGUUGCUAAAAGGUCCAUCAGUUUUGCUUACUCCAUUUUUGUUAAGCUUAACAAAUGUUCCAUUACCUAUUUGUUCUUCUAUCAUAUCCUUUUUCUUCUUAAAAUUACAUUGUCUCUGUUUGUUUAUCUAUUUUCAUUAUUUGUUAUGUACUUUGAGUUGGAUGAUAGUUUAGAUGUCAUUUUUAGUGUCUUAUGACUCUUUUGAUAAAUGGUGAAAGGAUUAAUUUUGAAGUAAGAAAAUUUUCUUAUAAGCUAAAAAUUAAGUAGAUCCAGGUGUUUUAGUUUGGUAUAGUGGUUAAAUUUUGUCGUGCGUCCAUUUUAUCUCCUGACUUGUUGUAUUUGUAUUACUAAUAAGCUUAGAGUUUUAUCACUCUUAUUUUCUUGCCGGAUUAUUUUUAGGCUAAUUGGAUUGUAGUAUUUAUCUAUUAGUAGUAGUUUUUCUAAAACUAAUAGGCUAUGAUGCAUCAUGUAAGAGAUAAAGUAAUUGGGCCCAAUAAGUUAGGUCCAGGUCUGAAGCACUGAAGCAUGCUAGAUGGCCCAUAUUUUUUAUAACUAUAUGCACCAAGAAACUCAAUUUGUGCACGCCCAAUGACAAUUAAGAUAGAUGGCCCAUUUCUUUCUUCUUUAUAAGAAAAGGAAGAUUUUCAUUUCUAUACCAAAUUUCAUACUAUAUUAUAAAAAAAUGGUCAUGAUAUCUAUAUUACACCCGUAGUUCAUAUUUUAUUUCAUUCUAUGUACCAAAUCAGUCCCACCCGCCAACCACCCCAAAAAGGGAAGAAUAUAUCUAGUUGUGUUGGUUAAAGUGGAAACAUGUGAUAAUUGGGGUAGGCUUUAAUUAUGGAUGUUAAAGUGAAAAGGGAAAAGGGAUAAAAGUAUGUUUUCUACCAUUCAAUAAAGAAAAAAUUGGGAGUGAAUGGCUCUGUUAUGUCUUAACACCAUUUUCUGAAACAAUACACAUCAACAUAUUUUCUUAAGCUACAUUUGCUACAACUAGAAUAAAUAAAAGGGUAGAAGAGCUUUAAGAAUGAAAAUGUUGGGAGUGAAUAAAUUCUACUGUCCAAUACCAUUUUCUAAAACAGAACCCUCCAUUAUUUUCUACAUAAUUGCUCGCAAUAAAAAAUAUAAUGAUAAUCUAACGAGUUUGGAGAUUAUAGGUAAAAAAGUUUAUUUGUAGAUAAAUUGUAGUUUGGUAAUGAGAUGUACAUGGUAAGUAGACAACAUGUUUAUAAUUUAUUUAUUUAAAUAAUUAUAGUAUCUAUUUUUUAUGUUUGUUAUUUAGUCCGAAUGCAGCUGACCAUUUUAAUACGGUUAUAACAAAGAACUUAAAUGCUACAAUUAUAGAUAUUAAAGUAAAAAAGGCAAAACUAAAAGUGGGUAUUCUACAAUUCAAGAAAGAAAUAUUGGGAGUGAAUUAUUCUACCGCCCAACACUAAUUUUGAAACGGAGGAAUGAUUUCCUUAAGCUACAUUAACUACAAUUGUCUUGACUUGUACUGUCUAUUAUAGUUUAAUUAUUGUUAAUUAUUGUACUUUGAUAAUAAACUGUAGAUGGUAUGUAGAUAACUUAUGGAUAAUAUAUUUAUAUAAAAAUAAUAGUCAUUAUGCACAAAACAAUUAUUUUACAUUAGCAUAAAAUAUAAGCAUUAAUCUACAUAAUACCUACAUAAUUUUUCAAAUAAAAAAAAAAGAAACAAUAAGAACUACAGAAUGACUACAAAAUAACAACAUUUGUAAAAAUAUAGAAAAUUGCAACUACAAUUAAUCUACAAAAUUAAGACAACUAAUCGACAUGACUACAAAAUAACUACAUUUAUGAGCUAUAGAUAUCACAACUAAAAUUAAUACACAUAAUUAACACAGCUAAUCUACAUGAUUAUAAAAUAAUUAUAAAAAUAAACUUUAGAUAAUAACAAUUACAGUUACUCUAUAAAAUUAAGAUUACUAGACUAUAAUUUAGCAACCAAAUUAAAACAUAGAUUUUUACACCCUUAAUGUACAUAAUACCUACAUAAUUCUUUAAAAAAAACAGUAAGAACUACAGAAUGACCAUAAAAUAACAACAUUUGUAAAAAAUAUAGAAAAUAGCAACUACAAUUAAUCUACAAAAAUAAAGACAACUAAUCGACAUGACUACAAAAUAACUACAUUUAUAAGUUGUAGAUAAUUGCAACUAUAAUUUAUACACUAAAUUAAUACAGCUAGUUUGCAUAAGCACUAAUCUACACAAUAAGCGUUAAUCUACACAAUACCUAUAUAAUUCUUCAAAACAAAAUAGUAAGAACUACAUAAUGACUACAAAAUAACUAUAUUUGUAAAGUUGUAAAAAAAUAGCUGGUUGCGGACUAUCAUCACUAUAGCGGACUUGAUGGAGAGCUUAGAGAAGUUUAGAAGACUAGAUCUGCUACUCGUUUUGAGUUCUUCACCUCGAUUGAUCAAGACUAACGGUUGGAACUAGCUCUGCUUCAACUUCCUAUAUCUCUUGGAACUUGCUCUGCCUCAACUUCCCUUGUGAUGGAAUCCAACUCCGCCUUUCACUCGCUCAUAUUCUUUCUAGCCAGAGGAAUGGCUUCCACGCAUUUCCAUUAUGGUGUAUCUGACAACAAUGAAGCUGAACUCCUUUCAUUUUGCAGUGAAUAAGCAUCGAUUUUUUGGUUGAAAGCCAUAAAUGUCUUAUCUUCAGAAGAAACAUAGAGAAAGAAGGAGAGAUAGUGAGAAAGAAUGAUAUGUAGAGAGAGAAAGAAGGAAAGAGAGAGUGAGAAAGAAAUGAGGGAGGAAAAGAUAGGGUAGAAUGUAGGGGAGGUAAAAGAUAUUGGUAUUUUAUUGUAAUGGGUGGGUUAGAUCAUAAUUGUGUCCAAUUUAGAGGACCCAUUAAUCAUAUCAUAAUUUUGAAUUAUCGUAUAUAAAUUUUAAUUAAGUUUACUUUUUG